AUUGAACGCUGGCGGCAGGCCUAACACAUGCAAGUCGAGCGGAUGAAGGGAGCUUGCUCCUGGAUUCAGCGGCGGACGGGUGAGUAAUGCCUAGGAAUCUGCCUGGUAGUGGGGGAUAACGUCCGGAAACGGGCGCUAAUACCGCAUACGUCCUGAGGGAGAAAGUGGGGGAUCUUCGGACCUCACGCUAUCAGAUGAGCCUAGGUCGGAUUAGCUAGGUGGUGGGGUAAAGGCCUACCAAGGCGACGAUCCGUAACUGGUCUGAGAGGAUGAUCAGUCACACUGUAACUGAGACACGGUCCAGACUCCUACGGGAGGCAGCAGUGGGGAAUAUUGGACAAUGGGCGGAAGCGUGGUCCAGUCAUGUCGGGUGGGUGAAGAAGGUCUUCUGAUUGUAAAGCACUUUAAGUUGGGAGGAAGGGCAGUAAGUUAAUACCUUGCUGUUUUGACGUUACCAACAGAAUAAGCACCGGCUAACUUCGUG
This 484-nucleotide ribosomal RNA is filed under the name uncultured bacterium. Its description in RNAcentral is "partial 16S ribosomal RNA". It matches the Rfam family "Bacterial small subunit ribosomal RNA", at positions 30 to 507 of the family's 1533-position model. The record is from RNAcentral.